Molecule: long non-coding RNA, 241 nt
Filed under: Phaseolus vulgaris (common bean)
Lineage: Eukaryota; Viridiplantae; Streptophyta; Magnoliopsida; Fabales; Fabaceae
Description: long non-coding RNA (PVUL_LNC005242)
Source: RNAcentral
CUCCCUUCUCAUGGCGGAUGCCUACCAGGGCGAUUGAGGUCAGAUGGUGCGGCCGGCUGGUCGCGAACUGUGUUUCGAACUUUGCGACGAGCGUGGCAAAGCUAUCUAUGGAGUUGGGUGAGAGCUUGGUGAACCAACUAAGGGCUGCACCCUUCAAGGAUGUGGGGAACACUCGGCACAAGACGGCGUCGUCCGAGGUGUAGAGACUCAUAUGGGUGGUGUAGGCGUCCAUAUGCUCGUC